RNAcentral lists this long non-coding RNA (541 nucleotides) under Anas zonorhyncha (Eastern spot-billed duck). RNAcentral's name for it is "lncRNA (ENSAZOG00000003095.1)". Lineage: Eukaryota; Metazoa; Chordata; Aves; Anseriformes; Anatidae. The record is from RNAcentral.
GUUUCUGCAUGGUGAUGCCCGAGAGGAGCCCUCAGCAUCACUGCGGGGAGCUGGGGAUGCUGCAUUGGGGAGCGGGGUCACACUGCCCUCAAUGCUCUGCCCUGGGCCAGGGGGCACCGGGAAGAGGAUGAGUCACAGGCUGAGAAACCUCCUGGCCCUGUACCUCUUGUCGCAGCUCUCUGUCCCCAUCCCCGCGCACCCACACCGUGCCACGGCCAGCACUUCGGGGACAGCCUGUGCCUGGGUCACCAGCCUGGGGCAGCGAGGGGAAAACAUGCUGAGAAACGAGCCCAGAGCCAGCCAGGCUCCCGUGCUUCCCUCCUGCCAGCCUGGAAGAGGUGGGAACAGCAGCGAGGAGGGACGCAGACCUGCAGCAGCUUGGGUGCUGCAUGCACUUGGGUGCUGCACGGUUGUUUCUUGGACUGCAGCAGCAGAGCUGCUGAAGCAGUGCCGCUGGGAGGGCAGAUUUUUGACCUGUUGGAUGUGGCAGAGCAUUUCUGAGCCAUCCCCAGGCUUCCUCCGCCAGGCAGGGAGGAGUUAA